Molecule: non-coding RNA, 794 nt
Organism: Nylanderia fulva
Lineage: Eukaryota; Metazoa; Arthropoda; Insecta; Hymenoptera; Formicidae
Source: RefSeq, a predicted model, not a curated record
UUUAAUAUCGGUAGUAUCAGUAUUCAUAAUAUUAAAUAAAUAUUGUUAUAAACUAUUGGUGCAGAAUGUAGUAAAUCUGUUUUAAAGUGAAGAAUAAAAAACGUCAAAGUUUCGAUUAUUUCCAUUUUCACGCGCGCUUAGUGAUGAAAAUAUUUAUUAUUGUAACCUUCAUUUAUAUUUAUUUUUCAGCCUUUUUAUCAUAUUUUUGUUAUAUAUCGGGUUACUUCUGGUUAAGUAUUAUGAGCUUCAAUAUGUGGUGGACAUUCAGAAGAUUCUCUUCGUUAAAAAAAAGCAGCAGCCAAUCAGAAAAAAAAAGUUGGUAUAUUAUGCUAUUUUUGCGUACGGAUGUCCGUUUGUACUUGCUACUGUUUGUGUCAUCGUUGUGGAUUAUGUUUCCGAGUAUUUGUCAUAUAUUUUGAGACCAGAAUUCAAAAAGGGGCAUUGCUGGUACUCUGUCCAGAUUCAUUGGGAAGCACUUACAUUGUAUUAUUACUGGAUAAAAUUGUCUGUACUAUUAGUAGCAUUUGCUUAUCCAUCUCUGCGGCAAGAAACAUUAAACGCUGCGAAAAGGAUACAAACUUCAGUCUAACAGAUUCGGAAAACAAGCAAUUUAAUGACAAUAAGAAAUGGUGUGUAUUCUCACAUUUUGCGUCACUCUGUGAUAAUUUUUUAUUAUGUUAAUGAGGUUUCUGCAGAUAUAUUUUUGUCAAUAUCUCUGCCGACAUCACACACUUGCUUGAUUCGCAUUCCUGGUAAAAGGGGGAGAAAAUUAUAAUUGCAAAAAAUAUAUAUAU